Non-coding RNA from Perognathus longimembris pacificus (Pacific pocket mouse), 459 nucleotides. NCBI's taxonomy places the organism in Eukaryota, Metazoa, Chordata, Mammalia, Rodentia, Heteromyidae. The record is from the annotation of a RefSeq genome assembly.
AUGCGGUGCCCUGCUCAGCUCCUGGGGCUGCUGAUGCUCUGCAUCUCUGGAUGCAGUGGAGAUGUUGUGCUGACCCAGACUCCACUCUCCCUGCCUGUCACCCUGGGAGAGCCGGCCUCCAUCUCCUGCAGGUCUAGUCAGAGCCUCCUAGAUAGCGAUGGAAACACAUACUUGUAUUGGUACCUGCAGAAGCCAGGACGAUCUCCACAGCUCCUGAUCUAUUUGGUUUCCAACCGAGCAUCUGGGGUCCCAGACAGGUUCCAUGGCAGUGGGUCAGGCACAGAUUUCACACUGACCAUCAACAGGGUGGAGGCUGAGGAUGUUGGGGUUUAUCACUGCACUCAAGAUAUGUAUGUUCCUCUCACAGUGAUACAGCCCCAAACAAAAACCUCUGUGCUUGGCCUGGCCCAGCUGUCCUCAUAUUUUGCUUGUUGGGGAGCAGCACAACCAAUUCUCUGA